This 450-nucleotide ribosomal RNA is filed under the name uncultured bacterium. Its description in RNAcentral is "partial 16S ribosomal RNA". It matches the Rfam family "Bacterial small subunit ribosomal RNA", at positions 354 to 796 of the family's 1533-position model. The record is from RNAcentral.
GUGAGGAAUAUUGGGCAAUGGGCGAAAGCCUGACCCAGCCACGCCGCGUGAGUGAUGAAGGCCUUCGGGUUGUAAAGCUCUGUGGGGAGGGAAGAAAAAGCGCAGGAGUAACUGCCUGUGUGUUGACGGUACCUCCUUAGCAAACACCGGCUAACUCUGUGCCAGCAGCCGCGGUAAUACAGAGGGUGCAAACGUUGCUCGGAAUUACUGGGCGUAAAGCGCGUGUAGGCUGACAUGCAAGUCGGGUGUGAAAUCCCAGGGCUCAACCUGGGAAUUGCGCUUGUGACUGCAGUGCUGGAGUACGGCAGAGGGGGAUGGAAUUCCGCGUGUAGCAGUGAAAUGCGUAGAUAUGCGGAGGAACACCGAUGGCGAAGGCAGUCCCCUGGGCCUGUACUGACGCUCAUGCACGAAAGCGUGGGGAGCAAACAGGAUUAGAUACCCUAGUAGUCC